CAGCAGCCGCGGUAAUACGGAGGAUGCAAGUGUUAUCCGGAAUCACUGGGCGUAAAGCGUCUGUAGGUGGUUUAAUAAGUCAACUGUUAAAUCUUGAGGCUCAACUUCAAAAUCGCAGUCGAAACUUUUAGACUAGAGUAUAGUAGGGGUAAAGGGAAUUUCCAGUGGAGCGGUGAAAUGCGUAGAUAUUGGAAAGAACACCGAUGGCGAAAGCACUUUACUGGGCUAUUACUAACACUCAGAGACGAAAGCUAGGGUAGCAAAUGGGAUUAGAUACCCCAGUAGUCCUAGCCGUAAACUAUGGAUACUAGAUGUUGAGCGGAUCGACCUGUGCAGUAUCAAAGCUAACGCGUUAAGUAUCCCGCCUGGGAAGUAUGCUCGCAAGAGUGAAACUCAAAGGAAUUGACGG
Molecule: ribosomal RNA, 409 nt
Filed under: uncultured bacterium
Lineage: Bacteria
Description: bacterial SSU rRNA
Rfam family: Bacterial small subunit ribosomal RNA
Source: RNAcentral